CUUACUUUUAUUGUGUGAAAUAAGCCUAAAUGAUUUUGGCUUUUUAUCACCGCCCCUUCUCUAUAAUUGGAUAUCUAUUUUUUUUGAUUAAAUCUUUAACACAGUGAACUGAAAUAGGGUUUUCUUUCUCAUUGGGUAAUUCUUUGGAUGCAUCAGCCAGACAGCCACCGAUUUCAGGAAUACAGUAACAACUGUAACUCUGAAGAAACACAUCUACGCUUUAGAUUUUGGAAUAAAGGUGGGAUUCUUUGCUGCAAAAAUGAUGUGAGUUGUGUUUGAUGAGCUAUGAGUUUCUCAACACUGCUUACUUUAAGGAAUCAAGAGAAUUACUCAAUGUUGUGAUAUGUGAAUAUCUCUAGCUUGGUAUAUCUGAGGCACCAAAGCUCGUAGGUUACGUAAGUGCUACCCUUCACAGCCUAUCAGCUGGAGUGUAUAGCACAAGGGAUCUCAUUGAUUCAAAUGUGCAACCAAUGCAGUACAAUGCUCCAUUGCUGUUGAUGUGUCAAAUGCGACACGACAUGCGAAAGGGUUACACUCGGAGGCGAAGCUAGCUUGGGGCACGUGUUGCACGAGCUAGGAUGCAAAUUUUUUUUACGUUUUUUUUUUUUUGUUUUUUUUUUUAAAGUUGGUGGUACCGGUGUUUUUGGGCUCGUCAUCCACUUCUAAUUCUACCACCAUGUUUUUUUUUUCCUAAAACUCUUAAGUUGCAGAUAGAGAUAGAUUUAGCCCACAAGAAAAAUGACUGUAGACGUGAAUUUUCAUCCUCGCCAUCAUCAACAGAAGCGUAAAACUGUCAUCGUCUUUUAAUGUUGUUAAUACGAUCAUCAAAUGUAUGCUAUGUUGUCCAACCGUUGUGUGA
Molecule: long non-coding RNA, 859 nt
Organism: Amaranthus tricolor (Joseph's coat)
Lineage: Eukaryota; Viridiplantae; Streptophyta; Magnoliopsida; Caryophyllales; Amaranthaceae
Exons: 3
Source: RefSeq, a predicted model, not a curated record